Molecule: ribosomal RNA, 449 nt
Filed under: uncultured bacterium
Lineage: Bacteria
Description: bacterial SSU rRNA
Rfam family: Bacterial small subunit ribosomal RNA
Source: RNAcentral
GUCGAGAAUUUUUCACAAUGGGCGAAAGCCUGAUGGAGCGACGCCGCGUGGGGGAUGAAUGGCUUCGGCCCGUAAACCCCUGUCAUUUGCGAACAAACCUCGCCAUUGAACAGAUGUCGAGCUGAUUGUAGCGGAAGAGGAAGGGACGGCUAACUCUGUGCCAGCAGCCGCGGUAAUACAGAGGUCCCAAGCGUUGUUCGGAUUCACUGGGCGUAAAGGGUGCGUAGGCGGUCGCGCAAGUUUGACGUGAAAUCUCCGGGCUUAACCCGGAAAUUGCGUUGGAUACUGCGCGGCUUGAGGAAUGGAAGGGAGACUGGAAUGCUCGGUGUAGCAGUGAAAUGCGUAGAUAUCGAGCGGAACACCAGUGGCGAAGGCGAGUCUCUGGACAUUUCCUGACGCUGAGGCACGAAAGCCAGGGGAGCAAACGGGAUUAGAUACCCCGGUAGUCC